GCAUGUUAUUAUCACCUCAAAGGAAGCAUUUUAAGAAAACUCAUGAAAAAUCGGAUGUCAUAAAGUGGCUCUAAAACCAUCCAAUUACAAGCAUUGAGGUAUUGCGUCUUAUUGACUGAUUUGGACGCCCAUGCUUUUGGCAAAUCAUUUUCGCUUCGCGCUUUCACAUUCGUAAUUUUUUCAAACCAUUUAGAGACUUUUCUUGAGUGCAUUAACUAAGAUACGUGUGCAGGUGUGCAAAUAAACAAAUGUACUUAUAAAAAUCGUUGUUGCAAGUAUCCUGUUGUGUAAUGAGAUCCGGCCAUCAUUUGCGCACUCUUUAACGUGAUGGAUAUGAACAUGUCCGACUGCUUAAACUAUUUCAGACGCUUCCUGCUCAUACAUGUAAGACUUCUCGCGCUAAAAUAUCAAGGUCACUUUCAUCAAGUAACUUUACAAUGAUUUUUCGAUAUCAAAAGUCAACAAAGAAUAUCACAAUGCUUUAUUUUAUUUUAAAUUUCAUUUCCUCGGCGAAGACCAAACCUUUCAAGUCUGUAAAUAAAAGCACAAGUAAAAGAAUGAUUUCGGAAUAAAAGUUAGUUCAGUUUUGACUUGCAAGCUUUAGUUGACGCCAACGACGCUACGAGGAAGGAUCGAAGGACAGAGCGAAACCAACUGAUUCAGCUAAAAGAUGUCUUGUAAAGUGAUUGGACUUUGUGUAGUGUUUUUUUCUGGUUUUCGCGUCUUUGGUUGAAGAGCAAGAAGCGUUUGCUGGUGGGUCCUGUAAGAGAGGUGAUCGACAAUGUCAUGGAAGGAAACGGUUUCUCUCAAGAGACGGAAUCUUUAAGACACUGGAAAAUGCCCCCGACGUCCCCUUGAGUCAUCGCCGCCAAAUCAGAAACGACUUCAACUGACCAGCACUGACAUGUGAAUUCGCUUCAUAAAUCAUUUCGAGCGACCCCCUUUGGGAAUCGUUUUUGCUUUUUUCCAGGUGUUUUUGUUAAUCUGUUUAACUUAAUAAAACGCUUAUGAAUUAAAAAAUAUUGCGUAUU
Actinia tenebrosa (Australian red waratah sea anemone) is the source of this 1031-nucleotide long non-coding RNA. RefSeq lists it as uncharacterized. The record is from RefSeq and is a predicted model, not a curated record. Lineage: Eukaryota; Metazoa; Cnidaria; Anthozoa; Actiniaria; Actiniidae.